GGUUAGGUAUGGGGGACUUUUGGGAUAGCAUUGGAAAUGUAAACAAGGAAAAUACCUAAUAAAUUAAAAAAAAAACAUUGUAUACCAUAGCUCUAGAGGAACAGUGAAAGAAUAUACAAAAGUUUACACUGAAUAUUAUUUCUACUGACUAUACUGAUGACUAUGCAAAUGAGGUGGAAAAGGUAUUUCUAGACAUGUCAGUUGCUAGCUCCAAUAAUUUAUGUUUGCAGGCUUUUCUGCCUUCCAAGUAGUUUGAACAACUUGCAAAUAAAGCGUACUAAAAAUACUAGAUGAUAAACAAAUAAAAAAGGUUGACAACUCAUAUGAAAUUGCAUACUUUUUAUACCGAAGUUUCUUACAGCUAAAACAUGAAAAUACUUCAAAAUAUGAAAUUAAGCUUUGCAUUCUUCCUGCACUCUUAUUAAGUUCUACACAUUCGACAAGCAAUAGUUAUAAAAUGAAUCAACAUAGACUUCAUUAUGCCCGUGAUUUCUACUAAAUGAUACUAAACAUUAGAUUAGGUCAUGUUUUGGGCAUUUUGUGACAUUUUUAUUUAUAUAGCGCAUAUAGAAAAAUAGUAAAGAAAUCAUAAUUGUACAAGGAGCUGGCUUGUUACAAAGGAAUUUCUCCAUAAAGACAAUGUCCAUAUCAAGAGGCAGAACAUUUGCAGCUUCCAAAAGCUCAUCUGAUUCUGAUCCUUGCUCACUGACAGUUCUCGAUUGAGGUAAUUAUCUUGAUGAGAUAACAUUUUGUUCAACACUGAGGAAAAGGUUACAAAGCAUAUUUUAAUUUGUAUUUAUUUUAUGCCUGAAAUUUUAACUAAAAUUUAGUAAAAGCUAUCAAAAUAAAAUGUAUUUUUCUUUAUCAUUACAAGUGUGUUCUAUGCUUAAGUGUAGGAUAUUUUGUAUUAAUUACAAAUCUUCAAAUAUUUAUAUAUUUAGUUUGAUUUACUUCUAUAUGCUGGCUCUAACUGAACCUCUCAAUAAUUCAUAUGCAGAAGCUUUAAGCUCAGAAUAUAGCCUUCUGUGAAUAGUUCUAGGUCUUAAUUAAGUUAGAUGACAUCAUACUUAAAUUUGCUGAGAUAUUUAUAUAGUAUGUUUGUUUGUUUUCCUAUUGGAAAACAAUAAUUGGAAAGAAUCAAGAACAACACAGAAGUAUCUUAGCAUGAUUUUGUAGACCAAGAAACACCAAGAACUGGUUGAUAACUACCAAAUCCUCUGUGAGUGGUAUGGAGAAACCCCUUCUAUAUAGUCUGAAAUGAAGCAAUCCUGCUAAGGCUUUACUCUUAGAUUUCUGGCUUUAAGAAACUAGAGAUUACAGGUGGCAGUGUAUGCGUUCAACCCCUCCCCUUGGGAGGCAAAGGCAGGCAGAAUUUUGAGAUAUAAACCAGCCUGGUCUACAGAGUGAAUUCCUGAGAAGCAAGGCAAAAAACAAACAAAUAAAAAACAAACAAACAAAAAACCACACACACACACAAACACACACACUCACACACACAAACACACAGACACACAGAAAGGCAAACUCAGGAGAUAGCAGGUUGGGGCGGGGAGCUCUAGCAUGUACCAGAGACCUGGGAAGUGAGAGACCCUCAGGAUUCAAAGGGAGGACCUUAGAUGAAAUGCCCUACAGUGGGGAGGGGGAACUUGUAGAACACAACUCCAGCAGAGAGACAGGGCAUCAAGUGGGAGAUGGGGUUGCCAUCCCACUGUCAAAACUCUGUCCCAUAAUUGUUCCUCUCUGAAAAAAUUUGAGGAUAAAAAUGAAGAGGAGCCUGAGGAAAAGAAGGUCCAGCCACAGUUCUAAAGUGAGAUCCACCUCAAGGGGAGGCCCCAUGGAAAGCUCCAAAAAGCUCAGUCUGUUGCCAAUGCUAUUGCUUGUUCUGUAUAAGCUGACAGUAAGCCCCUAUUACUGAAGACGAUAGACAACACCUACAGAUCUCAUUGAACAUGGCGACAUCAUGCUGGAAACUAACUAGAAGCUUUACCUUUACUGACUAGUUUUCAUCUUACUGAAUGGUGCUCUCUAUACCAAAGAAGAAAGAUAUCUCCCAAUCCAGCUACAAACCCUGUGACCUCUAAGAUUAACCUGCUUCUAUGAUACCCAGGUGCAAUAGGGGCACAAAAGUUUUGGAGUAACCAUCCAUUAUCUGAAAGGAUUUAAGCCUACUUCAUGAGAAGGAUCUCAUGUCUGACACUGCAUGGGUGGCCAAGCACUGGAGACAAAAUAAUGUGAGAACACCUAGUGGAAAAGAGACACUGGUGCUCUGCUAGAGGAACAUUUCAAUACAAAGAUCCUUAAUGACGUUCUACAGAAUUUAUUCAUAACUCUCUCACUCAGUAAUUAUCAAUAAGCUUCCUCUGAGAGUAGAUGAGAACGAAAACUGACCCACAACUGGAAACCUACAGAAAGUGAGAAAUUGGAACACUUAGUUUUAAAUGAGAUGUCUCUAUCAAAUUCCCCCUCAGGGAACCUUGCAGAAGAGAC
RNAcentral lists this long non-coding RNA (2487 nucleotides) under Mus musculus (house mouse). RNAcentral describes it as "long non-coding RNA chr16:80371703-80374190". The record is from RNAcentral. Lineage: Eukaryota; Metazoa; Chordata; Mammalia; Rodentia; Muridae.